AUGCCGAAAGUUCAACACACAACCAAGCUUAGAGUAGUUCAGCUGUACCGAGAGGGAUGGAGACCGUACGCCAUUCGAAGGCAACUUGCCAAUGAGAGCCUUGCUAUUACGAAAAGUACAGUUAAGCGUAUCAUUGACAAACACAAUUUGGGUAAUUUCACAGCAAUAAAUACAGUAAUGGCUGCACCUGUGGUAUUCCAGAAAAUCAACGAUCUAGACCUAGCCACUAUUAACAAUGCCUUUACCAACGACUGCAACUUGUCGAGCCGAGACAUUCAGCGAAUAUUGUCCGAGAAAAAUAAUACCAACGUAUCCUUGUCAACAGUAAGAAGGGCUAUAGAUGCAGCAGGUUGGGUUUCAACAUCGCCAAGAUAUUGCCAGCUCAUUAGAGAUGCCAAUAAAGAAAACAGGGUCAAAUUUUGCCAAGACAUGAUUGCAAGUGAUGAGCGUUUUGAAGAUGUGAUAUUCAGCGACGAGACAACGCUACAACUGCACGACAACAAAACAGGGGCGUACCGACGCAAAGAGUCAGCUGCACCAACUAAUUGCCGACCGAAUCACCCAUUGAAAGUUCACGUUUGGGGUGGUAUAAGUAAGAGAGGUGCAACACAAGUUUUGAUUUUUGAUGGUAUAAUGGAUGCAGCAUUUUUUGUACCUGAAAUUUUAGGCGCUACUUUGAAACCAUUUAUUGACUCUGUGUAUCCGGAUGGUCACCGUUUUCAGCAAGACAAUGACCCCAAACACACUUCAAAGCUAGCCAAAAAUUUUAUGCAAGAAAACAACAUCAAUUGGUGGAAAUGGCCGUCCGAGUCACCGGAUAUUAAUCCAAUCGAAAUGGUUUGGAACCAGUUAAAAAGAAACGUUUCAAAAAGAAAUCCAACGACCAAAGAGCAGUUGUGCCAGUAUAUAGAAGAAUUUUGGUUGAGAGAGAUGACGCCAGCACACUGUUCAAAGUACAUUGACCACAUAUAUAAAGUUGCACCAGUGGUUGUUUCGGUUGGAGGAAAAGCAACAGCUGACAUACCCGGGAGAUUGUUCAAAGAAAGUUCAUCAGACAUGAGCAUGCAGUACUUCCAUGACAAGUUAUGUGCACCACAACUACGCCAGAAGCUUACAGUAAUGAUGGGUGACCGAUGA
Molecule: small RNA, 1137 nt
Filed under: Mytilus galloprovincialis (Mediterranean mussel)
Lineage: Eukaryota; Metazoa; Mollusca; Bivalvia; Mytilida; Mytilidae
Source: RNAcentral